GUAACGGCGAGUGAAGCGGCAACAGCUCAAAUUUGAAAUCUGGCCGCAAGGUCCGAGUUGUAAUUUGCAGAGGAUGCUUUUGGCGAGGUGCCUUCCGAGUUCCCUGGAACGGGACGCCAUAGAGGGUGAGAGCCCCGUACGGUAGGACCACCGAGCCUUUGUAAAGCUCCUUCGACGAGUCGAGUAGUUUGGGAAUGCUGCUCUAAAUGGGAGGUGUACGUCUUCUAAAGCUAAAUACCGGCCAGAGACCGAUAGCGCACAAGUAGAGUGAUCGAAAGAUGAAAAGCACUUUGAAAAGAGGGUUAAAAAGUACGUGAAAUUGUUGAAAGGGAAGCAUUCAUGACCAGACUUGGGCUUGGUUGAACAUCCGGCGUUCUCGCCGGUGCACUCUGCCAGUCCAGGCCAGCAUCAGUUUGCCCCGGGGGACAAAGGCGGUGGGAAUGUGGCUCUCUCCGGGGAGUGUUAUAGCCCGCCGUGUAAUGCCCUGGGGCGGACUGAGGAACGCGCUUCGGCUCGGAUGCUGGCGUAAUGGUCAUCAAUGACCCGUCUUGAAACACGGACCAAGGAGUCGUCUUCGUAUGCGAGUGUUCGGGUGUCAAACCCCUACGCGAAAUGAAAGUGAACGUAGGUGAGAGCUUCGGCGCAUCACCGACCGAUCCUGAU
This 663-nucleotide ribosomal RNA is filed under the name Sarocladium spinificis. RNAcentral's name for it is "partial large subunit ribosomal RNA". It matches the Rfam family "Eukaryotic large subunit ribosomal RNA", at positions 83 to 775 of the family's 3401-position model. Lineage: Eukaryota; Fungi; Ascomycota; Sordariomycetes; Hypocreales; Sarocladiaceae. The record is from RNAcentral.